RNAcentral lists this ribosomal RNA (349 nucleotides) under Clostridioides difficile. RNAcentral describes it as "bacterial SSU rRNA". It matches the Rfam family "Bacterial small subunit ribosomal RNA", at positions 1 to 358 of the family's 1533-position model. Lineage: Bacteria; Bacillati; Bacillota; Clostridia; Peptostreptococcales; Peptostreptococcaceae. The record is from RNAcentral.
UUUAUUUGAGAGUUUGAUCCUGGCUCAGGAUGAACGCUGGCGGCGUGCCUAACACAUGCAAGUUGAGCGAUUUACUUCGGUAAAGAGCGGCGGACGGGUGAGUAACGCGUGGGUAACCUACCCUGUACACACGGAUAACAUACCGAAAGGUAUGCUAAUACGGGAUAAUAUAUUUGAGAGGCAUCUCCUGAAUAUCAAAGGUGAGCCAGUACAGGAUGGACCCGCGUCUGAUUAGCUAGUUGGUAAGGGAACGGCUUACCAAAGCGACGAUCCGUAGCCGACCUGAGAGGGUGAUCGGCCACAUUGUAACUGAGGCACGAUCCAAACUCCUACGGGAGGCACCAGAGGG